This 247-nucleotide ribosomal RNA is filed under the name uncultured bacterium. RNAcentral describes it as "partial 16S ribosomal RNA". It matches the Rfam family "Bacterial small subunit ribosomal RNA", at positions 523 to 769 of the family's 1533-position model. The record is from RNAcentral.
ACACGUAGGGGGCGAGCGUUGUUCGGAAUUACUGGGCGUAAAGGGCAUGUAGGCGGCUUGGUAAGCCUGGCGUGAAAUACCGCAGCUUAACUGCGGGAAUGCGUUGGGAACUGCUGAGCUUGAGUUAUGGAGAGGGAGCUGGAAUUCCUGGUGUAGGGGUGAAAUCUGUAGAUAUCAGGAAGAACACCGAUGGCGAAGGCAAGCUCCUGGCCGAUAACUGACGCUGAGGUGCGAAAGUGUGGGGAUC